RNAcentral lists this ribosomal RNA (492 nucleotides) under uncultured bacterium. RNAcentral's name for it is "partial 16S ribosomal RNA". It matches the Rfam family "Bacterial small subunit ribosomal RNA", at positions 29 to 507 of the family's 1533-position model. The record is from RNAcentral.
AGUGGACGCUGGCGGUAGGCCUAACACAUGCAAGUCGAACGGCAGCACAGUAAGAGCUUGCUCUUACGGGUGGUGAGUGGCGGACGGGUGAGGAAUACAUCGGAAUCUACUUUUUCGUGGGGGAUAACGUAGGGAAACUUACGCUAAUACCGCACACGACCUACGGGUGAAAGCAGGGGAUCUUCGGACCUUGCGCGAUUGAAUGAGCCGAUGUCGGAUUAGCUAGUUGGCGGGGUAAAGGCCCACCAAGUCGACGAUCCGUAGCUGGUCUGAGAGGAUGGUCAGCCACACUGGAACUGAGACACGGUCCAGACGCCUACGGGAGGCAGCAGUGGGGAAUAUUGGACAAUGGGCGCAAGCCUGAUCCAGCCAUACCGCGUGGGUGAAGAAGGCCUUCGGGUUGUAAAGCCCUUUUGUUGGGAAAGAAAAGCAGCAGGUUAAUACCCCGCUGUUCUGACGGUACCCAAAGAAUAAGCACCGGCUAACUUCGUG